AUGGCGAGCACGGCGGAAGCGCUGCGGCUGCCCCCGCGCCUCUCGGGUUCGCCGCCAUCCUCGCCCGUCACCGUCGGCGCGCUACUCACCAAUGCUGUCGGCGCCAGCAGGACCCGGCGCGAAUGCCGUUCACCACGGUCCCUGCUGUCGCGCAUUCUUGGGAGGGGCGGCGGCGGGUUCGGCUGCCGCCUGCGCAUCCCCUGCUACUGCUCCAGCGGCGCCGGAGCGGCCGCCAAGGAGGACGCCGUAGAGGAGGAGGUGGCCGCGCCUAAGGUGGUCGUGGCGAGCAAGCAAGAAGCAGAGGUUCGCGAGUCGCCUCGGAGUUCACUGCAGGGGAUGAAGGCGGCGCCGGAGGUGUCGGCGGCGAGCCUCGGGCUGGGCGCGGGCCUGGUGCUGCUGCUGUCCAGGGGCGCGGCGGAGCUGAGCAGGAUGGCGGAGCUGCGCGCCCAGAUGGAGCGGCUGGUGAUGGACGCGCGUGGCAGCACCCGCUCCGACUUGUCUGACAGCGGCCAUGUCGAUGACGGUGCCAGCGUCGUCAAGGAGCGCAUCGUCUUCACCGAUGCCGGCGGCGAGGACGCCUCGUUGUCCUGUGGUUCACAUGCUGUCGCUGCGAUGGAUCAGAUGGAAGCGGAGCUCGAGGCGGAACUGACGCGCCUGCAGCUCGACUCGGACCUCGGUGACGGGGAGUGCGUGACCCCGCGGCGAGAUCACCAGCUCGAGUCCGCCGUGAAGAGCGACAUCUCCUCGGAGAGCGGCUCCCCUGCUUGCGUCGGCAUGGACGGCGUCCUCGACGACGCGGCGAGAGGAUGCAAGGAACACGAAGACAACGAGGAAGAGGAGGAGGGAGCCACUGACGAGGAGGACGAAGAUAGCAAGGCGUGCGACGGCGGUGUGCCGGCCCGUGUGCUGGAACGGAGGCUGCACGAGCUCCUGCAGUCGCGUCACGAGGAGCGGAUCGCGGAGCUGGAGACGGAACUGGAGCGCGCGCAGAGGAAGCUGCGGGACAAGGAGCGCGAAGUGUCGCGGUGGCGCGACACCGCCAAGCUCGUCUCCCGCCACAAGGACGAGUCGCGGCUCCGGUAG
Molecule: ribosomal RNA, 1083 nt
Filed under: Triticum aestivum (bread wheat)
Lineage: Eukaryota; Viridiplantae; Streptophyta; Magnoliopsida; Poales; Poaceae
Description: partial small subunit ribosomal RNA
Source: RNAcentral